CUUGUCUGGUAUAGUGGUAUUAAUGAAAUUCCUUUUAUUUAUCUAGAUAUUGCAGGGAAAAAGAUACUAAUUCUUCUAUCUCGUAGUCAAUGAUCAUUCUGUUUCUGCCCAUAUAAGCACUUCCAUGUCAGGGCUUUUGAGCUUUUUAAUUUCUCGUCACAUAUCCAUCCUAAAGCAAAGCAUGUGUUAUGAGCUUGUUUACAAAUCUUCCUAGGUAGCAAUGCUGAUGUGACAUAUUUAAUGCUUUCCAAGUACGUUUUUCUCAAAAAAAUGCUUUCCAGGUACUUUGGAAGUAGGAGAUUUCCAAAGCUCUUUAGGUUCUGCAGCUUCGGUAGUUAGGUUGAUGUACAGCUGCUGCUCUUCGUUUGAACUGCAACUCAUCAUGAUUAUAUUUGCUUGAAGUAGAUAUGCUUGCUUUCUCUACUGUUCCACUUAAUAGACUAGUUGAAUGUGCUUGCUGAUCCUUGUACUUUUCAUUUUUUCAUAGUUAUUUGACGGAAAGGAAGAUUCUAGACGGGAUUUCUUUUACUGUGCCAGCUGGAAAAAGUGUAGCUAUUGUAGGAACGAGUGGUAGUGGCAAAUCAACCAUUCUUAGAUUGCUCUUCAGAUUCUUUGACACCCAUUCUGGAAAUGUAAAAAUAGAUGGUCAAGAUAUUCGGAAGGUUACACUUGAGAGUCUUCGGAAAUCUAUUGGCGUUGUUCCCCAGGAUACUGUCCUAUUCAAUGAUACUAUAUUUCACAAUAUCCACUAUGGACGGCUCUCUGCCUCUGAGGAGGAGGUGUACAAUGCUGCUCGGCAAGCUGCAAUCCAUGACACUAUUAUGAAAUUCCCCCAGAAGUAUGCUACAGUGGUGGGAGAACGUGGACUUAAGGUGAGUCCCUUUUAGUCCCCCCAUUUUCUCUAUUUGU
Molecule: non-coding RNA, 909 nt
Organism: Nicotiana tabacum (common tobacco)
Lineage: Eukaryota; Viridiplantae; Streptophyta; Magnoliopsida; Solanales; Solanaceae
Source: RefSeq, a predicted model, not a curated record